UUAACAAUUAACUGAAUGAUGGAACAGCCCGAAACAAUUCAGAUUGGGAAAGUUGUUGCUCAAGGUGCUGCACAAUAGUUUAAAAAGAAAUCAGGAUAAAGGAACUUCAGUCAGUCUACAAAUUGAAGGAUCUCAAAGUUCAUCUGUUUAACUGCGAAGAUCAACAAUACUGGUACCACCCAAUAACAACAGCAAUAUCCUCUUUGCUCUUCAAAAAGGAUUCCCAGGUCAUGCCAAGCCACUGUCAGAGUCUUGCUCUGAGCUAUACCAGCCCACACCAUGCUGCUGCCAGAGGCCCACUCCACAUAGAGACGUGAGUCCCACUCCAGGCUUCACAGGCCAGCCGACUCUGUAGCCAUGCUGCCUCUGAAAAUGUUGCCGCAGAUCUGGAGCCCAGCGAAGCCACCUUCCUACAGAAGAGCUCUUUUUAUCAGUAGGUUCAAGCAAAAAUGAAAUAAAAGUGGGAAAACAAGAAGGGGAAAAACGUAAAAGAAAAAUUGGACGAAGAGGACAAGCCCAGGCACAGAAGCACUUUGGAAUACAAUAUGCCAGAGAGAAGGAACUGAGGCACACAGAAUGGGAUCACAAGACAUAGGAGCAGAAAUUAGGCCAUUCACCCCAUCAAGUCUGCUCUGCCAUUCAAUCAUGGC
Molecule: non-coding RNA, 650 nt
Organism: Chiloscyllium plagiosum (whitespotted bambooshark)
Lineage: Eukaryota; Metazoa; Chordata; Chondrichthyes; Orectolobiformes; Hemiscylliidae
Source: RefSeq, a predicted model, not a curated record